Molecule: non-coding RNA, 73 nt
Organism: Oesophagostomum dentatum (nodular worm)
Lineage: Eukaryota; Metazoa; Nematoda; Chromadorea; Rhabditida; Strongylidae
Source: the annotation of a GenBank genome assembly
GGUCGGGUAGUGUAGUGGUAUCGCUUCCAACUCUCGUGAAUCGUAACGCAGGUUCAAUCCAUGCGUGCGAUCA